RNAcentral lists this ribosomal RNA (484 nucleotides) under uncultured bacterium. RNAcentral describes it as "partial 16S ribosomal RNA". It matches the Rfam family "Bacterial small subunit ribosomal RNA", at positions 30 to 507 of the family's 1533-position model. The record is from RNAcentral.
AUUGAACGCUGGCGGCAGGCCUAACACAUGCAAGUCGGGCGGAUGAAGGGAGCUUGCUCCUGGAUUCAGCGGCGGACGGGUGAGUAAUGCCUAGGAAUCUGCCUGGUAGUGGGGGAUAACGUCCGGAAACGGGCGCUAAUACCGCAUACGUCCUGAGGGAGAAAGUGGGGGAUCUUCGGACCUCACGCUAUCAGAUGAGCCUAGGUCGGAUUAGCUAGUUGGUGGGGUAAAGGCCUACCAAGGCGACGAUCCGUAACUGGUCUGAGAGGAUGAUCAGUCACACUGGAACUGAGACACGGUCCAGACUCCUACGGGAGGCAACAGUGGGGAAUAUUGGACAAUGGGCGAAAGCCUGAUCCAGCCAUGCCGCGUGUGUGAAGAAGGUCUUCGGAUUGUAAAGCACUUUAAGUUGGGAGGAAGGGCAGUAAGUUAAUACCUUGCUGUUUUGACGUUACCAACAGAAUAAGCACCGGCUAACUUCGUG